AGGUGCGAUCAUACCAGCACUAAUGCACCGGAUCCCAUCAGAACUCCGCAGCUAAGCGUGCUUGGGCGAGAGUAGUACUAGGAUGGGUGACCUCCUGGGAAGUCCUCGUGUUGCACUUC
This 119-nucleotide ribosomal RNA is filed under the name Phaseolus vulgaris (common bean). The record is from RNAcentral. Lineage: Eukaryota; Viridiplantae; Streptophyta; Magnoliopsida; Fabales; Fabaceae.